UUCCGGUUGAUCCUGCCGGACCUGACUGCUAUCGGAUUGAUACUAAGCCAUGCGAGUCUUUGUAGUAAUACAAGGCAGACGGCUCAGUAACACGUAGUCAACCUACCCUAUGGACGAGAAUAAUCUCGGGAAACUGAGCAUAAUUCUUGAUAGAUCAUAAUGCCUGGAAUGGUUUAUGGUUAAAAUGAUUCGUCGCCAUAGGAUGGGACUGCGGCCUAUCAGCUUGUUGGUGGGGUAAUGGCCCACCAAGGCGAUUACAGGUACGGGCUCUGAGAGGAGAAGCCCGGAGAUGGGUACUGAGACAAGGACCCAGGCCCUAUGGGGCGCAGCAGGCGAGAAAACUUUGCAGUGUGCGAAAGCACGACAAGGUUAAUCCGAGUGAUUUCUGCUAAAGAAAUCUUUUGCAAGUCAUAAAACCACUAGUGAAUAAGGGGUGGGCAAGUUCUGAUGUCAGCCGCCGCGGUAAAACCAGCACCUCAAGUGGUCAGGAGGAUUAUUGGGCCUAAAGCAUCGGUAGCCGGCUCUGUAAGUUUUCGGUUAAAUCCAUGUGCUCAACGCAUGGGCUGUCGAAAAUACUGCAUAGCUAGGGAGUGGGAGAGGUAGACGGUACUCGGUAGGAAGGGGUAAAAUCCUUUGAUCUAUCGAUGACCACCUGUGGCGAAGGCGGUCUACCAGAACACGUUCGACGGUGAGGGAUGAAAGCUGGGGGAGCAAACCGGAUUACAUACCCCGGUUAGUCCCAGCUGUAAACGAUGCGAACUCAAAUG
RNAcentral lists this ribosomal RNA (767 nucleotides) under uncultured marine group I thaumarchaeote. Its description in RNAcentral is "bacterial SSU rRNA". It matches the Rfam family "Archaeal small subunit ribosomal RNA", at positions 1 to 774 of the family's 1478-position model. The record is from RNAcentral. Lineage: Archaea; Thermoproteati; Nitrososphaerota.